RNAcentral lists this ribosomal RNA (498 nucleotides) under uncultured bacterium. RNAcentral describes it as "partial 16S ribosomal RNA". It matches the Rfam family "Bacterial small subunit ribosomal RNA", at positions 30 to 523 of the family's 1533-position model. The record is from RNAcentral.
AUUGAACGCUGGCGGCAUGCCUUACACAUGCAAGUCGAACGGUAACAGGUCUUCGGAUGCUGACGAGUGGCGAACGGGUGAGUAAUACAUCGGAACGUGCCCGAUCGUGGGGGAUAACGGAGCGAAAGCUUUGCUAAUACCGCAUACGAUCUACGGAUGAAAGCAGGGGGCCGCAAGGCCUUGCGCGGACGGAGCGGCCGAUGGCAGAUUAGGUAGUUGGUGGGAUAAAAGCUUACCAAGCCGACGAUCUGUAGCUGGUCUGAGAGGACGACCGGCCACACUGGGACUGAGACACGGCCCAGACUCCUACGGGAGGCAGCAGUGGGGAAUUUUGGACAAUGGGCGCAGGCCUGAUCCAGCCAUGCCGCGCGCAGGAUGAAGGCCUUCGGGUUGUAAACUGCUUUUGUACGGAACGAAAAGACUCUUUCUAAUAAAGAGGGUCCAUGACGGUACCGUAAGAAUAAGCACCGGCUAACUACGUGCCAGCCGCCGCAGUAA